Molecule: non-coding RNA, 73 nt
Organism: Hordeum vulgare subsp. vulgare (domesticated barley)
Lineage: Eukaryota; Viridiplantae; Streptophyta; Magnoliopsida; Poales; Poaceae
Source: Rfam
CCAAAGGUUUUAUUUGCACCCUAUUAUUCAAAGGACUUCCCAAAACCACAAAAUAUUAAUUUUGAAGUUAUGG